GAUGAACGCUGGCGGCAUGCCUAAUACAUGCAAGUCGAGCGAAUGGAUUAAGAGCUUGCUCUUAUGAAGUUAGCGGCGGACGGGUGAGUAACACGUGGGUAACCUGCCCAUAAGGCUGGGAUAACUCCGGGAAACCGGGGCUAAUACCGGAUAACAUUUUGAACCGCAUGGUUCGAAAUUGAAAGGCGGCUUCGGCUGUCACUUAUGGAUGGACCCGCGUCGCAUUAGCUAGUUGGUGAGGUAACGGCUCACCAAGGCAACGAUGCGUAGCCGACCUGGGAGGGUGAUCGGCCACACUGGGACCGAGACACGGCCCAGACUCCUACGGGAGGCAGCAGUAGGGAAUCUUCCGCAAUGGACGAAAGUCUGACGGAGCAACGCCGCGUGAGUGAUGAAGGCUCUCGGGUCGUAAAACUCUGUUGUUAGGGAAGAACAAGUGCUAGUUGAAUAAGCUGGCACCUUGACGGUACCUAACCAGAAAGCCACGGCUAACUACGUGCCAGCCGCCGCGGUAA
This 515-nucleotide ribosomal RNA is filed under the name uncultured bacterium. RNAcentral's name for it is "partial 16S ribosomal RNA". It matches the Rfam family "Bacterial small subunit ribosomal RNA", at positions 28 to 523 of the family's 1533-position model. The record is from RNAcentral.